RNAcentral lists this ribosomal RNA (333 nucleotides) under Paenibacillus xylanilyticus. RNAcentral describes it as "bacterial SSU rRNA". It matches the Rfam family "Bacterial small subunit ribosomal RNA", at positions 1 to 319 of the family's 1533-position model. The record is from RNAcentral. Lineage: Bacteria; Bacillati; Bacillota; Bacilli; Caryophanales; Paenibacillaceae.
UUUAUUGGAGAGUUUGAUCCUGGCUCAGGACGAACGCUGGCGGCAUGCCUAAUACAUGCAAGUCGAGCGGAGUUGAUAGGGAGCUUGCUUCCUUGAUACUUAGCGGCGGACGGGUGAGUAACACGUAGGCAACCUGCCCUCAAGCUUGGGACAACUACCGGAAACGGUAGCUAAUACCGAAUACUUGCUUCUUUCGCCUGAAGGGAGCUGGAAAGACGGAGCAAUCUGUCACUUGAGGAUGGGCCUGCGGCGCAUUAGCUAGUUGGUGAGGUAACGGCUCACCAAGGCGACGAUGCGUAGCCGACCUGAGAGGGUGAUCGGCCACACUGGGAC